Scatophagus argus is the source of this 576-nucleotide long non-coding RNA. RefSeq lists it as uncharacterized. The record is from RefSeq and is a predicted model, not a curated record. The transcript is spliced from 3 exons. NCBI's taxonomy places the organism in Eukaryota, Metazoa, Chordata, Actinopteri, Scatophagidae.
CUAUUUAGUCCUUGUCUUCCCGGUCACCUGUGUCUGAGUGUUGUGUUGUCUUUGGUUCUAUGCCAGGAGGUCCUUGUCCUGUUUUGCCAUGCCAUGUUUAGCCAGGAGUUUUUGCCACAGUUUUCAUUUGAUCCCCUGCCACAAAGAAGAAACUGUUACAGAAUGAAAGCAGAAGGCAAGACAGCACAAGCCAGAAAGAAGCUGAUAAGACACAUCAGAGCUACCCUGGAUACUAACCUGCAGGUGCUCGUUGACAGUAUAACAGUGUGGUGACAGGAUCAAAAUGAUCCACACAAAGGCUGUGGAACCUCACUGGAGGCAUCUGAGAGUGCAGACUUAAACAGGAAGAUGUACAGCAAACAGAAGCAAAAACAACGACGGGAUGGGAAUGGGAAGACAGAAAUCAGUUGCCCGAGCAACACAGGAUAACUCAGAGGGAAAGUACUUAAAACAUCCGCAGAGAGCUCAAGGAAGCAAAAGAUAAGGGAGAAAACAAAGGGGAGAGCUGAGGAAACAAGAACAAGAGCAGUCACUGCUCAGGCCAUGCUAUUGUGUAAAUAAAAUGCUACCAGGUUU